Molecule: non-coding RNA, 585 nt
Organism: Schizosaccharomyces pombe (fission yeast)
Lineage: Eukaryota; Fungi; Ascomycota; Schizosaccharomycetes; Schizosaccharomycetales; Schizosaccharomycetaceae
Source: the annotation of a GenBank genome assembly
CUCCUGGGGCUGCGGCUGGUGUCGGAUGAGCAAAUAUACACUAAAGAGUUAGUUUUAACAAAUUAUCUGAUAUUAAUACAUACGUUAGCACGGGAGCACUUAUCGGCAUAUUUGCACAAAGGGACCUCUUGGGUUUGAGUGAGAGCACGCUUGGCAGCAGGCAUAACGGAUUUCGAGUAGUUAAACGAAGCUGCCAUGGGAUUGAAUCGCUGUUUCUGAGAUGUAAGUUUGAGCUUUUGUCCGACACGCCCAGUAGGUAGCUCCUUCUCUUCACGUAACGAAGUUAUAUUAGGAGUUUGAGAAGAUUGAGGUUGUAUGCUAGUUUCCGGCACAGAGAAAGAUUGCUGCGACUUGUCAGUUGACUCCUUCUCGAUAAAAUCGAUUUCGUCGAUCUUGCUGACUGACUCAACUGAAGCAUUUUUUGAUUUUUCAAGCUCUUCAAUUUGAUUAAAUAACCAAAGUGAGAAGCUAGUAUCAAAAUCGGACCCUAUUAAAUCAACUAGUUCUUCAUUAAUUUCAGUUUGUGUUUUUCCAUUGCUAAGCAUCACAAGAACAAAAUCGGCCAGAGAAGCAGCCUCUUCUCCC